RNAcentral lists this long non-coding RNA (5016 nucleotides) under Homo sapiens (human). RNAcentral's name for it is "HSALNT0268523". Lineage: Eukaryota; Metazoa; Chordata; Mammalia; Primates; Hominidae. The record is from RNAcentral.
CUUGCCUGUCAUCGUGAGCCCUCAUAGUGAAUGGCAUAGGGGACAAGAUCAGAAAUGCCUGAUCAACAAUAACGGUGAGCAUUUAUUGAGCACGUACUGCACGCCAGGCCAUGUUAUAACCUUACUUCAGCCUCCCGAGUAGCUGGGAUUACAGGCAUGCGCCACCACGCCUGGCUAACUUUGUAUUUUUAGUAGAGACGGGGUUUCUCCAUGUUGGUCAGGCUGGUCUCGAACUCCCAACCUCCGGUGACCCGCUCGCUUCGGCCUCCCAAAGUGCUGGGAUUACAGGCCUGAGAGCCACCGCACCCGGCCGGACCUGGUUCAUUUUAAAAUUGUUGUCUUAAUCUUAGUUGCUUAACUGCUUGCAAUUCUGUGUGUUGGCUGGUGGUUCCUCUGUGGGCUUCCCCUGGGCUUGUGCAUGCGGCUGCUUCUGGCUUUCAGCUGUGCUGGCUGGGCUAAGGUGGCCUCAUUCAUGGUGACAUGGGAUUCAGAUGGGAUCCAGAUGGGAUUCAGAUAGCAGCUGAUUGUUGGCUGGGGCACCUCUGUACUGCAUCUGGGCUCUCAUCAUCCAGAAGGUUAGACUGGCUUCUGUACGUGGUGUUUUCAGCACAGCAUCCAGGAGCCCUAGGCCCAGAUGUCCCAUAAAGUCUCUUUCUCCCAUUUAUUCUAUCUCAAAGCAAGUCAAACACCAGCCCAGGGCUUCCAGGAAACUGCUCCUCGCUCCUUGUUGGCCCACAGACUUCAUUUGUACUCACUAGCAGAGGGAUAAGAUUACUCUUUGACUCAUCCGGCCCUCCAAGGCAGGGCAGGGAAUGGGGUCACUUACCUAAGGCACCUGGGUUGCCUGCAUGCCCGUUAGGAGGAGACAGAUCAAGCACGUAGUCACGCUGCGCUGUGUUGCUUCCCUCCGCUUCUUUUGCUCCUGGGUAAAUAGGGCGGGGGAGGUGAGAUUGGAAGGAUGCCAGGAAUCUUGGGCCCAGCUGCUGCUUUAUGACUUAGGGAUAUAACUGCUUCUGACUCAUGCGUGCUUGGCUCUUUGUGAUUAUGUGCUGAGACACGUCAGCGGGAGGCUGCCCCGGAAUGUCUCCCCAUGCGAAUCGAGGGUGGGGCCUCUGCUGAGUCACCUCUGGCUCCUAGAAGCCUGGCUCAGGGUCAGCUCAUUUGAAAAGCGGCUGCCUUUUCUUCUUUUCUCUUCUCUUCUCUUUUUUUUUCUCUCUCUCUUUCAUUCACAUUAUAGCUUGAGUCAGAACUUCAUUCCUUUUUAAGGCUGAAGGACCACAUUUUGCUUGUUUGUUCAUGUGAUCGAUGAUGAUGGACACUUAGGUUGUUUCCACUUUUUAGCUAUCGUAAACACUGUUGCUAAUGGAAUAUGGGUGUACAAAUAUUUCUUCAAGAUCUUGCUUUCAAUUCUUUUGGGUAUAUACCCAGAAGUGGAACUGCUGCAUCAUAUGGAAUCCAUUCCCAGGGAAAUUCUCACCACAUAGCACAUGAACACAGGUGCCAGGAUGCAGCUGCACCUUCCUUUGUGGAGCAAAAACUUGGAAAUAUCCUUAAAAGUGAUUAAGUAAAUCAGAGUAUGAACUGUGCUCUGGAGUGCAAGACCGCGGACUAUGGCUUUCUGGAUUCUCUGGUGACACCUGCUGGCACAAAGGGAUACUGCAGCCCAGCUUGGAAGAGGAAAUGUGGACACAGACACAAACAGAGGGAGGGCCAUGUGAGCCCAGAGCAAGAAGGCGGCCAUCUACAAGCCCCGGAGCGAGGCUGCGGGAGAAGCCAGCCCCGCUCACACCUUGACAACAAUCUCUGUUGAUUAAACCACACAGUCUGCAGUCCUCUAUUACGGAAGAACAUUCCAACACAGACCACAACACCUAUGGACCUGGAAAACAUUGUGCUCAGUGAAAGAAGCCAGACACAGAAGGACAAUGUUGUAUGAGGUCUUAUUCUGUUGCCCAGGCUGGACUGCAGUGGUGCAAUCCUAGCUCACUGCAGCUUCGACCUCCCGUGCUCAAGUGAUUUUCCCACCUCAGCCUCCCGAGUAGCUGGGACUACAGGUGCGUGCCACCACGCCUGGCUGAUUUUUCUUGUAUUUUUUUGUAGAGAUGGGGGUAUCGCUAUGUUGCCCAGGCUGGUCUUGAACACUUGGGCUCAAGUAAUUCUCCCGCCUUGGCCUCCCAAAGUGCUGGGAUUACAGGUGUGAGCCACUGUGCCUAGUGUGAAUGCAUUUAAUGCCACUGAAUUGUACACUUAAUAAUGGUGAAAAAUAUAAAUAUUCUGUUAAAUAUUUUACCACAAUAAAAAAAUGUGUGACAGUUGUCAGAAUCAAAAUGGUGUCACUAAUGUUUUUUUUUUUUUUUUUUUUUUUUUUUUUGAGAUGGAGUCUCGCUCUGUUGCCCAGGAGGGAGUGCAGUGGUGCGAUCUCGGCUCACUGCAAGCUCCGCCUCCCAGCUUCACACCAUUCUCCUGCCUCAGCCUCUUGGAGUAGCUGGGACUGCAGGCACCCGCCACCACGCCCAGCUAAUUUUUUGCAUUUUUAGUAGAGACGGGGUUUCAUCGUGGUCUCGAUCUCCUGACCUCGUAAUCCGCCCUCCUCAGCCUCCCAAAGUGCUGGGAUUACAAACGUGAGCCACCGCGCCUGGCCUGGUGUCACUAAUGUUAAGAAAACCUUCACAAAUAGAGGCAGACCAUGAAGAGAGGGGUCUCAUUCUUAUAUGCCUGAUAAAGAAAGACUUUAAGAACUACAACCCUUGGCGGGGUGCAGUGGCUCAUGUUUGUAAUCCCAGCACUUUGGGAAGCUGAGGCAGGUGGAAUACCUGGGGUCAUGAGUUCGAGACCAGCCUGGCCAAAAUGGUGUAACACUGUCUCUAUUAAAAAUACAAAAAAAAUUAGCCAGGCGUGGUGGCAGGCGCCUGUAAUCCCAGCUACUCAGGAGACUGAGUCAGGAGAAUCGCUUGAACCUGGGAGGUGAAGGUUGCAGUGAGCAGAGAUAGCACCACUGCAUUCCAGCCUGGGCAACAGAGUGAGACUCUGUCUCAAAAAAUUAAAAAAAAAAAAAAAAAAGAAGCCGGGUGCGGUGGCUCACGCCUGUAAUCCCAGCACUUUGGGAGGCCAAGGUGGAUGGAUCACAUGAGGUUGAGAGUUUGAGACCAGCCUGACCAACAUGGAGAAACCCCGCCUCUACUAAAAAUACAAAAUUAGCCAGGUGUGGUGGUGCAUGCCUGUAAUCCCAGCUACUCGGGAGGCUGAGACAGGAGAAUCGCUUGAACCCGGGAGAUGGAGGUUGCGAUGAGCUGAUAGUGUCAUUGCACUCCAGCCCAGGCAACAAGAGCAAAACUCUGUCUCAAAAAAGAAAAUAUUUAUUUUUAGAGACAAGGUCUUGCUCUGUCACCGAGGCUGGAGUGCAGUCAUAGCUCACUGGAGCCUUGAAGUCCUGGGCUCAGGCAGUCCUCCUGCCUCACCUCCCAAGUAUCUGAGACUACAGGCAGGCACCACUAUGUCCAGUUAAUUUUUAAAUUUUUUCAUAGAGAUGGAGUCUCACUAUGUUGCACAGGCUGGUCAGUCUAGACAAUUUUAAAUUAAAUAUGUAACUCACAUUAACAGGUCACAUUAUUUAUUUAUUUAUUUAUUUAUUUAUUGACACAGGGUCUCGCUCUGUUGUCCAAGCUGGAGUACAGUGGCACAAUUUCGGCUCACAGCAACCUCUGCCUCCCGGGUUCAAGCGAUUCCCCUGUCUCCGCCUCCCGAGUAGCUGGGAUUACAGGCGCCCACCACCACGCCCGGCUAAUUUUUGUAUUUUUAGUAGGGACAGGGUUUCACCAUGUUGGCCAGGCUGGUCUUGAACUCCUGGCCUCGUGAUCCACCCGCCUUGGCCUCUCAAAGUGCUGGGAUUACAGGCAUGAGCCACCAUGCCCAACCGCAGACAUCUUUUUGUUUUGUUUUUUUUUCUUUUUUUUUUUCUUUGGAGAUGGUGUCUCGCUCUGUUGCCCAGGAGGGAGUGCAGUGGCAUGAUACCUGCUCACUAUAGCCUCGAACUCCUGGAUUCAAGCGAUCCUCCCACCUCAGCCUCCUGAGUAGCUGGGCCUACAAAUGUGCAACACCACGCCUGGCUAAUUAAAAAGGUGACAGAGAGACCCUGUCUCAAAAAGCAAACAAACAAAAAACGACACAUGUGCGUGUGUGUGUGUGUGUGUGUGUGUCUGUGGAGAGAGAGAGAGAGAAAGAAGGAGAAUAUGAUACAUCAAAUGUAGUAAAAUGAAAACAUUUGGGAAAUAUUUGAAGUAUUUGUAACUUUUCUCUAAGUCUGAAAGUAUUUCAAAAUUAAAAAAAAAUUUAAAAGGUGAAUAGUGCCAGGUGUGUUGGUGCACGCCUGAAAUCCCAGCACUUUGGGAGGCCAAGGCAGGUAGAUCACCUGAGGUCAGGAGUUCGAGACCAGCCUGGCCAACAUGGAGAAACUCCGUGUCUACUAAAAAUACAAAAAUUAGCCAGGCAUGGUGGUGGGCACUUGUAGUCCCAGCUACUCGGGAGGCUGAGGCACGAGAAUUGCUUGAAUCUAGGAGGUGGAGGUUGCAGUGAGCUGAGAUUGCACCACUGCACUCCAGCCUGGGCGACAGAGCAAGACUCUGUCUCAAAAAAAAAAAAAAAAAAAAAUGGUGAAUAGUACCAAGCGGUGGUGGAAGAUAUGGGAUAUAAAACCCUUGGGCACAGCUGGUGUGAGUGGAGACGGGACAGCCUUUCUGUAGAGCACCUGGUACUUAGUCAAAUUAGUCCCCCCAUCCCCUACAACCUACUCUCAAGCCAAAGUCCCAGAGACAUCCUCACACCAGCCCUAGAGGGUGCAAGGAGGUGGCAGCUCACCUUAUCUGUGGUGGGGCAGGUUGGGGGUCACUUGGGUGUCUACCCCAGGGACUGGGCGGCUGAGACUGGGGACUGCUCAUAGAAAGGACCGUGGAUGAGCCACAGCUACAAAACCCUUCACACAAGUGUUCAUGCCACAAAGUAGCCACAUGUGUUUUGCAG